This is a long non-coding RNA of Mauremys reevesii (Reeves's turtle), 1025 nucleotides long. RefSeq lists it as uncharacterized. The transcript is spliced from 4 exons. Lineage: Eukaryota; Metazoa; Chordata; Testudines; Geoemydidae. The record is from RefSeq and is a predicted model, not a curated record.
GGCAGCGUGGGGAUUCAGGACUGGAAUGGGGGCUGCUUCAGAUCAGCUGCUGUCUUGGCUGAGUAGGAGUGAGGCUGGAGCUUUGCACUGCGGCUCCCUCCAUGCUAUGCCUGGCUCAGGUAUCAGCUAUUUUCCAAAGAUAAAUAUGACAGGGAACGGCAUUUGGUCAAGACGUUCACAGAGUCACAACAAUUAGAGAUGAGGAAGAGCUGCCAGGUCAGAGAGGCCAAAGUGUUCAAACUUCAGUGGCUAGGCCAGCAGAAGAGUUUCAGGAAACCCACAAAUUACUACUCACUGGCAUUAGGAACUCAAAUCUGCUAAAUUUCAGACUGAAACAAAUUGGAUGGUGAAAUAUCCUGCAGACUAGAAUAGCUGAGAAGUAAGAGAGCACGCCGUGUGAUCCUCUAACCAUAUAGUGCAUAUAAGUUAGUGGAGAUUUCACUGGAAGAAGAAGAAAAAGGCGGACUCAGAUGGAAGCAGAUCUUGCCGCUUGCCUAUUCAAAAUUAUAAAGGCAGGAAGUGAUUGAUGCUUCUGUGUAACUAACAAUGGGCCAGACACCCACAGCUCUCAUUGAAGUUUCAUGUACUCAUCGCUUCUCAGGAUCUGGCCCACAGCUAGCUUCAGAGGAGCAACUCUUCAAGCAUUGCUCACAUCCAGGAGAGAGGGUUGUGGCUGCAUAACCCCUGCAUCCCCAGGACUUUGUCUCCCACAGAAGCACUGAUGCUGCACUACUAAUCAAGUGCUGUCCUUCCAAUGAGAUGGUAAACCAAGGUCCCUUCCGUCCUUGUCCAGCAAGGGUUGUCCUUGUGGUAGCUAAAGAUCUCAGCAGUAUAUUUCCCCCUGCCCAGGCCAACAUCCCCUCUCUGAGUAAAACAGAUUUGAAUGCCCAUGACUGUCGCGACUGCUGAAUGCAGAGUAGCUGCUCUGUCUGCCUAGGCAGAUGAUACAGUGGAAGCAAUAUACACAGAGCUCAUUAUUGCACAGGGAUUCAGGAAACUUAGAAUAUGAAAUGAGCUACAUUAAA